Molecule: non-coding RNA, 24 nt
Filed under: Arabidopsis thaliana (thale cress)
Lineage: Eukaryota; Viridiplantae; Streptophyta; Magnoliopsida; Brassicales; Brassicaceae
Source: RNAcentral
UUAAUCAACAUCGGUGGUCGGCUU